GUGGGAUGUAAUCGCCUAAUCAUCAACUCUGACAAUAUGGAGGUGAUUGAGACCAUGCAGGACGGAGGACAGUCAGCGGGAGCGGCGGCGGCAAUCUUUGAUGACUGCUAUCAUUAUGCUUGUGAUUUUAUCAUGACUAGAUUCGAACAUUGUAAUAGAGAGGCAAAUAAAGUAGUACAUGAACUUGCUAGAUUAGCUAGAUUUUUUUCGACUUCGGAUUGGUUUGAGGAGCCUAUUAGUGAAAUUGUAAUGUUUCUCACAAACGAUGUACUGGUUAUUGCUAAUGAAUAA
RNAcentral lists this ribosomal RNA (291 nucleotides) under Triticum aestivum (bread wheat). Its description in RNAcentral is "partial small subunit ribosomal RNA". The record is from RNAcentral. Lineage: Eukaryota; Viridiplantae; Streptophyta; Magnoliopsida; Poales; Poaceae.